RNAcentral lists this ribosomal RNA (254 nucleotides) under uncultured bacterium. RNAcentral describes it as "partial 16S ribosomal RNA". It matches the Rfam family "Bacterial small subunit ribosomal RNA", at positions 524 to 776 of the family's 1533-position model. The record is from RNAcentral.
GACGAACCGUGCGAACGUUAUUCGGAAUCACUGGGCUUAAAGCGCGUGUAGGCGGGACGGCACGUCGGCCGUUGAAAUCCCCCGGCUCAACCGGGGAAGGGGCGCCGAUACGACCGUCCUGGAGGAACGUAGGGGGAGCUGGAACUUCCGGUGGAGCGGUGAAAUGCGUUGAGAUCGGAAGGAACGCCCGUGGCGAAAGCGAGCUCCUGGACGUUUUCUGACGCUGAGACGCGAAAGCGCGGGGAGCGAACAGG